CGUCUAGAGUGUUCACCGCGGGCCCAUCCACUUUUCUGCCGCCGAAUACAUUAGCAUGGGAUAAUGGAAUAGGACCCUGUCCUCCUAUUUUCAGUUGGUUUGCCGCGAGGACCAGGGUAAUGAUUAAUAGGGAUAGUUGGGGGCAUUAAUAUUUAAUUGUCAGAGGUGAAAUUCUUGGAUUUAUGAAAGAUUAACUUCUGCGAAAGCAUCUGCCAAGGAUGUUUUCAUUAAUCAAGAACGAAAGUUAGGGGAUCGAAGACGAUCAGAUACCGUCGUAGUCUUAACCAUAAACGAUGCCGACCAGCGAUUAGGAGACGUUGAAUACAAAACACCACCAUGCGCAUUGCGGUCGUCUUUGGUGUGUCGCUCACAAGGCGGCAUCAUCGGGACGGCUUAGCUCGCAUGGCACCGGUGAAUGACUCCCCUACAGCCUUGUGAGAA
Molecule: ribosomal RNA, 441 nt
Filed under: Acanthamoeba sp. 1 VJM-2013
Lineage: Eukaryota; Discosea; Longamoebia; Acanthamoebidae
Description: SSU rRNA
Rfam family: Eukaryotic small subunit ribosomal RNA
Source: RNAcentral